GAACUGAAGAGUUUGAUCAUGGCUCAGAUUGAACGCUGGCGGCAGGCCUAACACAUGCAAGUCGAGCGGAUGAAGGGAGCUUGCUCCUGGAUUCAGCGGCGGACGGGUGAGUAAUGCCUAGGAAUCUGCCUGGUAGUGGGGGAUAACGUCCGGAAACGGGCGCUAAUACCGCAUACGUCCUGAGGGAGAAAGUGGGGGAUCUUCGGACCUCACGCUAUCAGAUGAGCCUAGGUCGGAUUAGCUAGUUGGUGGGGUAAAGGCCUACCAAGGCGACGAUCCGUAACUGGUCUGAGAGGAUGAUCAGUCACACUGGAACUGAGACACGGUCCAGACUCCUACGGGAGGCAGCAGUGGGGAAUAUUGGACAAUGGGCGAAAGCCUGAUCCAGCCAUGCCGCGUGUGUGAAGAAGGUCUUCGGAUUGUAAAGCA
RNAcentral lists this ribosomal RNA (429 nucleotides) under Pseudomonas aeruginosa. RNAcentral's name for it is "bacterial SSU rRNA". It matches the Rfam family "Bacterial small subunit ribosomal RNA", at positions 1 to 432 of the family's 1533-position model. The record is from RNAcentral. Lineage: Bacteria; Pseudomonadati; Pseudomonadota; Gammaproteobacteria; Pseudomonadales; Pseudomonadaceae.